AUACGAAGGGUGCAAGCGUUAAUCGGGAUUACUGGGCGUACAGCGCGCGUAGGUGGUUUUGUAAGUUGGAGGUGAAAGCCCCGGGUUCAACCUGGGAAUUGCCUCCAAAACUGCAUGACUAGAGUACGGUAGAGGGUAGUGGAAUUUCCUGUGUAGAGGUGAAAUGCGUAGAUAUAGGAAGGAACACCAGUGGCGAAGGCGACUGCCUGGACUGAUUCUGACACAGAGGUGCGAAAGCGUGGGGCGCAAACAGGAUUAGAUCCCCUGGUAGUCCACGCCGUAAACGAUGUCAACUAGCCGUUGGGAUCCUUGAGAUCUUAGUGGCGCAGCUAACGCAUUAAGUUGACCGCCUGGGGAGUACGGCCGCAAGGUUAAAACUCAAAUGAAUUGACGGGG
RNAcentral lists this ribosomal RNA (396 nucleotides) under uncultured bacterium. RNAcentral describes it as "partial 16S ribosomal RNA". It matches the Rfam family "Bacterial small subunit ribosomal RNA", at positions 523 to 918 of the family's 1533-position model. The record is from RNAcentral.